Molecule: ribosomal RNA, 253 nt
Filed under: uncultured bacterium
Lineage: Bacteria
Description: partial 16S ribosomal RNA
Rfam family: Bacterial small subunit ribosomal RNA
Source: RNAcentral
UACGUAGGCGGCAAGCGUUGUCCGGAUUUACUGGGUGUAAAGGGCGUGUAGCCGGGCUGACAAGUCAGAUGUGAAAUUCCGGGGCUCAACCCCGGACCUGCAUUUGAAACUGUUGGUCUUGAGUAUCGGAGAGGCAGGCGGAAUUCCUAGUGUAGCGGUGAAAUGCGUAGAUAUUAGGAGGAACGCCAGUGGCGAAGGCGGCCUGCUGGACGACAACUGACGGUGAGGCGCGAAAGCGUGGGGAGCAAACAGG